This 1242-nucleotide ribosomal RNA is filed under the name Triticum aestivum (bread wheat). RNAcentral's name for it is "partial small subunit ribosomal RNA". The record is from RNAcentral. Lineage: Eukaryota; Viridiplantae; Streptophyta; Magnoliopsida; Poales; Poaceae.
AUGGUCGCCGUCUUCAACAAGGACGUCCUGAGCUGGUACCUCAUCACGCUCAAGCUCAAGGAGACCGUCGACGCCAACCUCAAGAAGUCCCCGUCGCCGUCGCCGCACUGGCAGGCGCUUCCCCGCAGCCUGCUCGUCGCCUGGAUGCCGGCCAACGACUUCGCCCAGUGCCUGGUGCUGGACGGGACCUUCGUGCUGGAGCUGUUCCGCGGCGCGCUGGACGGCGCCAAGGGGUUCGUGGACGACCUGGGCUACUCGCGGCACGACCCCAUCUUCGCGAUGCGCGGCGCCAUGCACGCCAUCCGCAGCGACAUGAUCCUGCUCGAGAACCAGAUACCGCUGUUCGUGCUGGACCUGCUGCUCGGGAUCCAGCUCGGCCACCCGGAGCAGACGGGGGCCGUGGCCAGCCUCGCCGUGCGGUUCUUCGACCCGCUGAUGCCGACGGACACGCCGCUGCACCGGAAGGACCGGUUCAAGCUUGAAUCCUCCGUGGACGCCGACGCGGCGGCCGCGGCGGCGUUCGACCCGCUGUCGAACCCGAUGCUGCACUGCCUGGACGUGUUCCGGCGCAGCCUCCUCCGCGCCGGGAUGCAGCCCACCCCUCCGCCGGCGGCGCGGCUGUGGCUGAAGAAGUGGUCCGGGCUGCGGCGCGUGGCCGACAAGCGGCGGCAGCAGUUCGUGCACUGCGUGUCGGAGCUACGGGAGGCGGGCAUCCGGUGCCGGCGGCGGCGCAACACGGACCGGUUCUGGGACAUCCGGUUCGAGAAGGGGGUGCUCCACAUCCCGCGGAUCCUCAUCCACGACGGCACCAAGGCGCUGUUCCUGAACCUGAUCGCGUUCGAGCAGUGCCACAUGGACAUCGCGACGCCGGGCGGGAACAACAUCACCUCGUACGCCAUCUUCAUGGACAACCUGAUAAACUCGGCGGAGGACGUCAAGUACCUGCACGACCGGGGCAUCAUCGAGCACUGGCUGGGCAGCGACGGCGAGGUGGCGGAGCUGUUCAACCGGCUGUGCCUGGAGGUGGUGUUCGACAUCAACGACAGCUACCUCUCCGGGCUGUCGGACCAGGUGAACCGGUACUACGACCACAAGUGGAGCACGUGGGUGGCCAGCCUGCAGCACAACUACUUCACCAACCCGUGGGCGAUCGUCUCCGUCGUCGCCGGCGUCUUCCUGCUGCUGCUCACCAUGAUGCAGACCUUCUACAGCGCAUACAGCUACUAUCGCCCGCCGGCCUAG